GUCAAUUGCAUGCCGCGACACAACCCAGCCCCAGCCUCGUCUUGAUAGGUCGCUGUCAGGAUGUGGGUGAGCUUUAUAGCCAUGCAUUUAAUAUGUCAAGAGGAAAUCAAGAGAUUAUUGGUCUGCAUAUACAAGAACAAAAGAUUUCACAAGCUUAGAUGUUUGGCUUCAUCCUGCUAGACAACAGUAGGAAGUUCAGCAAAGAAAAAAAAGUGCGAGAGCCUGCAAGCAGGAGCGGAGCAUGAUGUAACUCUUCCCUUCACCUUUCUUUGCCGCACUGGCAGGGUGGUGUAUGGCAAGGUGGGAAGGAAGCAAAUGAUUUGAGGGGUGGAGCCUCAUCACAGAGACCAAUAUUACUGCACGUCAAUGAACCACUCAAACUGGCGGUGGGUGGGGCAGAUCCAGAGGAAGUAUACCUGAGGGGAUAAAAGGAGGAAGUAUAAGCAACUCCUGAGUAUCUGUUGGUGGAGGUGCCAAAUACUAAGUCAUUGAGGAUGGAGGCAUAGGGUGUCACACCAAUGCCACCGCCCACCAUCACUGCCACCUCAAACUUGUACCAGUCUUGAUUGCCACCACCAAAUGGACCUUCAAGACGGAUCUGAGGGAUAAUGCUCUACUGUGAGAUAGAAAGGUAUACAUAAAAAACAAUAGAAUUUAGUCUGUAUAGCUAUUAAUUUUAAAGAUUAUAGAAAAUUACAUUUAACUGAGAUAACUGUACUAGUGAUCACAUAACUCCUCUAAUAUGUAAAACAUGCCAGCACUACUUCAGUUAUAAUAUUUAUAGUGUAACCAUUUUAAGACUUCAUUUAAUUAGUAUGAAUGCUUUAUGGCAAGGAUAUUGAAAAAAUUUUGAAGACAAAUCCACAGUGUGAUCUGAAAAACAGAUGUUAAACUAAACAAAACUAUUGAGAAAUUCUUAUAGAUGCAGUUUACAAAAAAUGAGCUGUUACAACUUUUCGUAACACUACAUAGCAAAGUGACUUUCCUCAGAUAAAUGGAAAUAAAUGACUUACCUUGGGGGGAUUCUCUUCAUCAUGAACAUAAUUGUGAGGGUCAAAGAACUUGCGGAGCUUCCACGUCCAUGGACCCUGAGCCUUGAUGUGGCAGGAAAGGAAGUUUUCAUGUGGUGCUGAGGUGAGAGUGAAAGAGUGGUACUCAGACUGCCUGAAGGCAGUGCAGGAGAGACGCACCCAUUGCCCACUGAGGUACUUGAAGUUUGGUGGCCUGU
RNAcentral lists this long non-coding RNA (1228 nucleotides) under Portunus trituberculatus (swimming crab). RNAcentral's name for it is "uncharacterized LOC123516039, transcript variant X2". The record is from RNAcentral. Lineage: Eukaryota; Metazoa; Arthropoda; Malacostraca; Decapoda; Portunidae.